CCGUAGCCCAAGAGAUCGGGAUAACACCUGGAAACAGAUGCUAAUACCGGAUAACAACAGAUGAUGCCUAUCAACUGUUUAAAAGAUGGUUCUGCUAUCACUCUUGGAUGGACCUGCGGUGCAUUAGCUAGUUGGUAGGGUAACGGCCUACCAAGGCGAUGAUGCAUAGCCGAGUUGAGAGACUGAUCGGCCACAUUGGGACUGAGACACGGCCCAAACUCCUACGGGGAGGCAGCAGC
This 239-nucleotide ribosomal RNA is filed under the name uncultured Lactobacillus sp. RNAcentral describes it as "partial 16S ribosomal RNA". It matches the Rfam family "Bacterial small subunit ribosomal RNA", at positions 125 to 355 of the family's 1533-position model. The record is from RNAcentral. Lineage: Bacteria; Bacillati; Bacillota; Bacilli; Lactobacillales; Lactobacillaceae.